This is a long non-coding RNA of Larimichthys crocea (large yellow croaker), 780 nucleotides long. RefSeq lists it as uncharacterized. The record is from RefSeq and is a predicted model, not a curated record. Lineage: Eukaryota; Metazoa; Chordata; Actinopteri; Sciaenidae. The transcript is spliced from 3 exons.
AAUCGCACUUUGUUACUCGAAUCCUCAUCACAGUAACUUUUAUUCUGUAUCUUUUUUAUCACCCUGCCAAUCUGCCUGUCUGUCAGUCUGUUGCCAUGUCCAGCAGCCGCCUGUCUGUCCACGCUCGUGUUGGGUUUGCUCCCGCUCUGGACCGGAGCCUCAUCUGCUUCCAGCCAAUACGCCCUCAUUCCUCACUGGCCACCUGGCUGUUCGGAGCAGCUGUAAACACAUUUGCCUUCUGACAUGACAAAAUGCACCAAACUACGGAUCUGAAAGUGAUGUAUGAGUCUACAGCCACACUAACAGCUCUGGAGGGUGUUCUGGGACACAGUGGUGCUUUGAGUUAAAUGCUAAUAACAUCAACAUGUUUGGCAGAUCUCAGGAGCGAGCCACCUUUGAAAGUGUCUUCAUUUGCUUGAGUUAUGUAAUCCAUUACAGAUGCGGAGGCGUAUGAAUUGGCCGUAGGUGUGAAUGUGAGUGUGAAUGGUUGUUUCUCUCUUUGUAACCUGCGAUGAACUGGUGACUUGUCCCGGGUGUACCCCACCUCUCGCCCCAAUAUCAGCUGGGAUAGGCUCCAGCCCCACCGUGACCCUGAUGAGGAUAAGCAGUUACAGAAAAUGGAUGGAUGGUUGGAGUUCUAUAAAUAUUCACCCUAGGAAUGAGGAAUGAGUUUAUUUGUGCUGUGAAGUUGAACAUUUUAACACAGGGCUUUAUGGAGACUAAUGUUCUGUAGCCAGCCUCAAGUGGAAGGAGGCUGGCGCUUGUUAAGAGGCAUGGAAC